ACUAAGUGUCGGACGUAAGUUCGGUGCUGAAGUUAACGCAUUAAGUGCUCCGCCUGGGGAGUACGGUCGCAAGACUGAAACUCAAAGGAAUUGACGGGGACCCGCACAAGCGGUGGAGCAUGUGGUUUAAUUCGACGCAACGCGAAAAACCUUACCAGGCCUUGACAUACCGAUGACGUCUUUAGAGAUAGAGAGUUACCUUCGGGUACAUUGGAUACAGGUGGUGCAUGGUUGUCGUCAGCUCGUGUCGUGAGAUGUUGGGUUAAGUCCCGCAACGAGCGCAACCCUUAUCAUUAGUUGCUAACAGUCAGAUGAGCACUCUAAUGAGACUGCCAACGAAAAGUUGGAGGAAGGUGGGGAUGACGUCAAAUCAUCAUGCCCCUUAUGGCCUGGGCUACACACGUGCUACAAUGGCUGGUACAAAGAGGAGCGAAGCUGUGAAGUGGAGCAAAUCUCAAAAAGCCAGUCUCAGUUCGGAUUGUAGUCUGCAACUCGACUACAUGAAGUUGGAAUCGCUAGUAAUCGUAAAUCAGCAUGUUACGGUGAAUACGUUCUCGAGUCUUGUACACACCGCCCGUCACACCAUGAGAGUUUGUAAUACCCGAAGCCGGUGGCUUAACCGCAAGGAGAGAGCCGUCUAAGGUAGGACAGAUGAUUGGGGUGAAGUCGUAACAAGGUAUCCCUACGGGAACGUGGGGAUG
This 701-nucleotide ribosomal RNA is filed under the name human gut metagenome. Its description in RNAcentral is "bacterial SSU rRNA". It matches the Rfam family "Bacterial small subunit ribosomal RNA", at positions 815 to 1520 of the family's 1533-position model. The record is from RNAcentral.